This is a long non-coding RNA of Raphanus sativus (radish), 1067 nucleotides long. RefSeq lists it as uncharacterized. The transcript is spliced from 3 exons. The record is from RefSeq and is a predicted model, not a curated record. NCBI's taxonomy places the organism in Eukaryota, Viridiplantae, Streptophyta, Magnoliopsida, Brassicales, Brassicaceae.
CAUAGAGAGCUUCUAGGAUUAAUUCUUUUAAUCUUAUUGGUUGAAUUUUUGAUAAUUUCUUUUUCUUUUAUUUUUUAUCAUCGACCAAACAUUACCAAAAACGGAAUCCAUAUAAUUAAUACGGUCUUAUUAAUACAGUAUAUUUGAAGAGGCAAAAUAUAGUAUAUUAAUAAUGACAUACUUUAUGGACAAGACAUUCAUAUUAUAGUUUUGGAAAGCUUGCUCAAACGAAUCAAUGAAACUUAAAGGCACCACUCAAAUAAGACUAAUAAACCAUAAUAUUAAUACAUACUGAAAACGUAUCAACUUAAAUAUGGGAAGAUAAUAUCCGUUUUCGAUUUUAACCUUUGGUUGAAGUACUUUAUAAUGGUUUACUGUGUAACCUAAUUUUCUUAAAAGCAAAAGCAACCUAAUUGUUUGAGCACACAUCGAUGGCUACCUUACAUGCUCUGUUUCUCUUCUUCAGUUAAACAUUGUGUGUUUUAAUGAUUUCAAGACUUGCUUAAUUUUAUCUUCAAGAAUAUCAUAAUAUUUUGUGUUUCUUUUUUUUUACAAAUCUCGUAGCUUAUGGUCAAUGAAGGACUCAUUCCUUCUCCUGAAGAUGAGAAUAAACGAAGAACCAUUAUUCUUAAGCUACAAAGAUAGUGGUGAGAUGGUUUAAGACUGUUGCUUGGAAACGACGUCUUCCUCAUCAUCAUAUCAACGCAACCAACGCCACCAUAAUCUAUUACGGAUCCUAUGGUCUUGGAGCAAAAAGGCUACCACGUCUACAGACAGCAGAAAACCCAGCAGGAAUGGUUCUCCCAAACGAGCCAGCAGCUACUGCAGUGAGUUCAUCAUGUUGUGCUUAAGAGAGCUCUCUCUCUCUCUCUCUCUUGGUUAGUCACUGUAAAAAGAAACAUCCAGUCUCUUUAUCUGUUUUCUUCUUGUCUUAACGUUGUCCCUUUGCUUUGCAUUGUAUAUCAAGAUGUUUCCGUUCUGUGGAAAUCUAAAGAUAAUUGUAUUUGAAGAGGUUUGAUUUGUAAUUAGAUAUCACAACUUACUAUGCGUGUGAUCGCUUCUCUAUA